UACAGAGGUCUCAAGCGUUGUUCGGAUUCAUUGGGCGUAAAGGGUGUGUAGGUGGCGCCGUAAGUCGGGUGUGAAAUUUCGGAGCUUAACUCCGAAACUGCAUUCGAUACUGCGGUGCUUGAGGACUGGAGAGGAGACUGGAAUUCAUGGUGUAGCAGUGAAAUGCGUAGAGAUCAUGAGGAAGACCAGUGGCGAAGGCGGGUCUCUGGGACGGUACUGACGCUGAGGCGCGAAAGCGUGGGGAGCAAACAGG
Molecule: ribosomal RNA, 253 nt
Filed under: uncultured bacterium
Lineage: Bacteria
Description: partial 16S ribosomal RNA
Rfam family: Bacterial small subunit ribosomal RNA
Source: RNAcentral